RNAcentral lists this long non-coding RNA (1102 nucleotides) under Chloebia gouldiae (Gouldian finch). Its description in RNAcentral is "Erythrura gouldiae (Gouldian finch) lncRNA (ENSEGOG00005005669.1)". The record is from RNAcentral. Lineage: Eukaryota; Metazoa; Chordata; Aves; Passeriformes; Passeridae.
GGGAGAUGGGGCUGAGAGUCCGCGGCUCCCCGCAGCACCGGCGGCUCGGGGCGGCCGACGGGAGGCUACGGGCGGGGGGCCCGCAGCAUGGGACCACCGCCCUCGCUGGCACCCCCAGCCUGGCCUGUCCCGCUGUUGCUGGGGGUCCGCGGUGGCGUUGGAGCCUCGGCUCUGCUGCUGGGGGGAGAGGGGAUGUGUGAAGAGCGGUGCAGAGAUAAAAUCCUGUCGCCUUUGUUUUGUGGAGAAAAGACAACAUCAGCUCCCGGCCAAACAACAGAGUCGUUAAGCGAAGGCAUCUCCGGCCAGGGGCUCGGAGCCACAUCCCGGAGCUGGAAUGAGGAACCAGCUGGCGUCCUGGCCCCUGGGGUGCUGUCUCCCGCAGCGCUCAGCAUUCCUCCCAGGACCAGAACCAGAUCCAUCAGCACUCAGCAUUUCCCCAAGGACUACAGCAGCUCCCCCAGGCCUCAGCAUCUCCCACAUACACCCCCUUCCCCCACUCCAGACCAUAACCACCUUCCCUAGGGCUCAGCAUUUCCCCGGGGAUCACAGCAUCUGCUCCAGGAGUACAGCAUCCCUCCAGAACCACAGUACUCCCCGCCAGGGACCGCAGAAUCCCAUGAAGGACCAGCAGCAUAGUGGGGUGGCUGUGAAGCUUUUCAGCCCCACCAACACCCCACAUCCCAUAAGGACUCAGAGACAUGUCCCAGACAACAUGCAAGGGGAAUCUACAGCCCUGGAGUGAGCAGAUUCUGGGGGGGGCAGCAGGUAGAUGGCCCCAGAAGUUGGGCAGAUGGGAUGCCCGCGGGCAUGGCUGGGCAGGGAUCGGUGCCAGGGCUCAGGGAGUGGGAGUGGGCAGCAAGGGGGGGUUGUGAUGGUGGGGGGUGUGGGAACGCUGCCUCAGGAAACCAGCAGGAUUUACUGGGCUACACACUAAAUCCCCCUCACAAAAAGGGGCCUGUUCGUGCGGACAGGAUGCUGGUGGCUCAGCCACACUUGUUUGGCCAGCAGAGCCUGGCGGAUUAAGGACAAUUGGUUCAGCCCUGACAGAAAAUACCAGGAAUGUUAAACAAUAAAAACUGCCUCCAGUUGUCGUGGGGCUGCA